Molecule: ribosomal RNA, 567 nt
Filed under: Triticum aestivum (bread wheat)
Lineage: Eukaryota; Viridiplantae; Streptophyta; Magnoliopsida; Poales; Poaceae
Description: partial small subunit ribosomal RNA
Source: RNAcentral
AUGGACUCGUAUGAUCAUGUCCAGAAGCGACUCGCCAUGGCCACGGCAUUCAAAGAGGAGAUCUUCGUCGGCGCCGGCCUCUCCUUUGGCCUUCUCGACCCGACCACCAACAUCAUCUACAACACCCUCACCGCCUCCGACCUCUGCGCUGACGAAAUCAAGGCUGUUCAGCACCGGGACAUUGCCGAGCGCUCCCUGGACGGCCUUGUCGCCUUCCUCGUCUCCUUCUUCCGCUACCUCGCGGACUGGGAGGCCGUGCGCUACCUGCUCCUCGCCGACGCCGACCUCGUCUACGCGAUGCGCCUCAUCGUGCAUGACCGGUGCCUCUCUUUCUUCAAUAUCAACUCUGAUACCAGCAGGUCCGUUGUCCGCACUGCCCUAAUGUGCGCGGCGCGGGCCUCCAAGCACAUGGAUCCCUACCACCUCGUCCGCACCUGGCUGUCGCCGAUUCGCCCUCUAGAAGAAGCUGUGCACGCGAUCCAGAAUGACAUCAAUAAUUUUCACCUCUGUAUUCGACCCACGGCACCAUGCUCGCAAGCGUCCUCGCAUGUCAAUGCAACCCCUUGA